UACGGGGGAAGCAAGCGUUGUUCGGAUUUACUGGGCGUAAAGGGCGCGUAGGCGGCCACCGCAAGUCAAUUGUGAAAUCUCCGGGCUCAACCCGGAACGGUCAACUGAUACUGCGGGGCUAGAGUGCAGAAGGGGCAACUGGAAUUCUCGGUGUAGCGGUGAAAUGCGUAGAUAUCGAGAGGAACACCUGCGGCGAAGGCGGGUUGCUGGGCUGACACUGACGCUGACAGCGCGAAAGCUAGGGGAGCGAACGGG
This 255-nucleotide ribosomal RNA is filed under the name uncultured bacterium. RNAcentral describes it as "partial 16S ribosomal RNA". It matches the Rfam family "Bacterial small subunit ribosomal RNA", at positions 524 to 776 of the family's 1533-position model. The record is from RNAcentral.